CCUACGGGAGACAGCAGUCGAGAAUCAUUCACAAUGGGGGAAACCCUGAUGGGGCGACGCCGCGUGGGGGAAUGAAGGUCUGCGGAUUGUAAACCCCUGUCAUGUGGGAGCAAAUUAAAAAGAUAGUACCACAAGAGGAAGAGACGGCUAACUCUGUGCCAGCAGCCGCGGUAAUCCAGAGGUCUCAAGCUUUGUUCGGAAUCACUGGGCGUAAAGCGUGCGUAGGCUGUUUCGUAAGUCGUGUGUGAAAGGCGCGGGCUCAACCCGCGGACGGCACAUGAUACUGCGAGACUAGAGUAAUGGAGGGGGAACCGGAAUUCUCGGUGUAGCAGUGAAAUGCGUAGAUAUCGAGAGGAACACUCGUGGCGAAGGCGGGUUCCUGGACAUUAACUGACGCUGAGGCACGAAGGCCAGGGGAGCGAAAGGGAUUAGAUACCCCAGUAGUC
This 446-nucleotide ribosomal RNA is filed under the name uncultured bacterium. RNAcentral's name for it is "partial 16S ribosomal RNA". It matches the Rfam family "Bacterial small subunit ribosomal RNA", at positions 338 to 795 of the family's 1533-position model. The record is from RNAcentral.